RNAcentral lists this ribosomal RNA (349 nucleotides) under uncultured bacterium. RNAcentral's name for it is "partial 16S ribosomal RNA". It matches the Rfam family "Bacterial small subunit ribosomal RNA", at positions 338 to 704 of the family's 1533-position model. The record is from RNAcentral.
CCUACGGGAGGCAGCAGUGGGGGAUAUUGCACAAUGGGGGGAACCCUGAUGCAGCGACGCCGCGUGGGUGAAGAAGCGCCUCGGCGCGUAAAGCCCUGUCAGCAGGGAAGAAAAUGACGGUACCUGAAGAAGAAGCCCCGGCUAACUACGGGCCAGCAGCCGCGGUAAUACGUAGGGGGCAAGCGUUCUCCGGAUUUACUGGGUGUAAAGGGGGCGCAGACGGCGCUGCAAGCCAGGAGUGAACGCCCGGGGCCCAACCCCGGGACUGCUCUUGGAACGGCGUGGCUGGAGUGCAGGAGGGGCAGGCGGCAUUCCUGGUGUAGCGGUGAACUGCGUAGAUAUCAGGAGG